This is a non-coding RNA of Saimiri boliviensis boliviensis (Bolivian squirrel monkey), 476 nucleotides long. NCBI's taxonomy places the organism in Eukaryota, Metazoa, Chordata, Mammalia, Primates, Cebidae. The record is from RefSeq and is a predicted model, not a curated record.
GGUCGAGAUCAUCCAGAGACAUGUCUUCCUGUGUAGCCUUGUUGGAAGGGACCAACAUGUGGCUUGCUGGUGCCCGAGACACAAGAGACUGGUGAGAUGAGCUGAGUAUGGGAGAUAUUUAAUGGGUGCUUACUCUGUGUCAGGUGCCCUUCUUGCUGCUGAACAAAGUAGAUAAAUUCCUUGCCUGAAAGUAAUUAAGGAAGGGGAGAACGGAUACUAGAGAAAAUAGUGAUCCAUCACAGUCCACUCCUUUGGCCCUCCACUUUGCCAGACUCAUCUUUUUUCUCACCACGUACUAACAACGCAAAGUCCUGUUUGGGUGCUCCAUCCAUCCCCAAGUCCAGGAUUGCUGGGUGGUGUGUUGUCCUCUCCAUCAAGUGAUAGGGAGGCUCUUGCCUCCCACACUCACAUCCGAUAGGUAAUGAUGCUGUAGAAUUGUAUAGCUGCAAUAAAAUCUCUCUUUCAGAAAUGGAAAA